UCGAGCGGAGUUUUGAAAAGCUUGCUUUUCAAAACUUAGCGGCGGACGGGUGAGUAACACGUGGGCAACCUGCCCUUGAGACGGGGAUAACUCCGGGAAACCGGAGCUAAUACCGGAUAACACAUAUCUUCGCAUGAGGAUAUGUUAGAAGGUGGCUUUUAGCUACCACUCAAGGAUGGGCCCGCGGCGCAUUAGCUAGUUGGUGAGGUAACGGCUCACCAAGGCGACGAUGCGUAGCCGACCUGAGAGGGUGAUCGGCCACACUGGGACUGAGACACGGCCCAGACUCCUACGGGAGGCAGCAGUAGGGAAUCUUCCGCAAUGGACGAAAGUCUGACGGAGCAACGCCGCGUGAGUGAUGAAGGUUUUCGGAUCGUAAAGCUCUGUUGUUAGGGAAGAACAAGUACCUGUUAAAUAAGCAGGUACCUUGACGGUACCUAACCAGAAAGCCACGGCUAACUACGUGCCAGCAGCCGCGGUAAUACGUAGGUGGCACGCGUUGUCCGGAAUUAUUGGGCGUAAAGCGCGCGC
This 531-nucleotide ribosomal RNA is filed under the name Priestia endophytica. RNAcentral describes it as "bacterial SSU rRNA". It matches the Rfam family "Bacterial small subunit ribosomal RNA", at positions 62 to 572 of the family's 1533-position model. Lineage: Bacteria; Bacillati; Bacillota; Bacilli; Caryophanales; Bacillaceae. The record is from RNAcentral.